Molecule: long non-coding RNA, 2156 nt
Organism: Triticum dicoccoides
Lineage: Eukaryota; Viridiplantae; Streptophyta; Magnoliopsida; Poales; Poaceae
Exons: 4
Source: RefSeq, a predicted model, not a curated record
UGCAGCCUGGCCCACUGUUUUGGGCCAGCCCAUGUUCAAAGGUUCGCUUGGCAACAAGCGGCGGCGGCGGCGGCACGUCCGGAGCAGCAGCGUCUUCGGCGAUCGUCAGUUUUGCCACGAGCUCGCCGGAGUCGACGAGAGCGUGAGCAUCCGCCGCCGCAGACGGUCCUAUCGUUGCUUUAGUCCGUCGAUCGAUCCCGUGCUCGCGCUAGCUCCCUGUGACCGAGGGAACUCGUGCUCUCCCGCCCGCCGCCAUGGCCGGAAUGCAGUGCACACCAGGUUCCAGUCUGCUGCUUGAACCUGGCCAUCUGGGAGAGCUUCUCAACAGCUUCAACCAAAUGAUCAAGCCUAGCAACGAAUUCAAUCAGUAGCGAUGCGGAAGUCGCAAGCGACAGCGCUGUGGUACUUUCAAGUGCACGCAUCCUCGGAAUCAUAUCAGAAACGUCAUUUUCAUCAUCUUCAAAAUCAUCCACCUCCCGAGAAGGCCAUGAAUGCAGCCUCCUCUGCUGCCUUUUCAUCAUCUCAUGGUAGGAUUCAGGUUGCAGUGGCCCAGCUACUUGUGUUGCUAUGUUUUCAGCCAUCUUACUUUCUGGGUCAUCAUUUUGUUUGCUGUUGAGGUUGAAAGUGACAGCCCAGGAGGUUUUCAACUGUGGCUUGGCAGAGUUGGCUUCAUGAUUUACAGUAAAGAGGUAGGACUGCAGGUCAAUUGAUUGUUGCAGACGCUCAGUUGAGACAUGCACAUGCUUGAGUAGGCUUGUUUGAAGGCUUGACUUCAUGUUGUUUACAUCCUUUGCCAAACUGUGCAGCAACUCUGCAGCUUGGUUUGUGGCAUCUAAGAUCUCAGAGCGGAAAGCACAUCUUAGGUUGUAUGGUGCCUGCAGAAUGCAAUGACUAUAUUUAUAUGCAAAUUAUGGUAAAGUGGUUCCUGAUUAUCUUAUUAAAUACUCCCUCCAUUCCAAAAUAAGUGUCGUGGUUUUAGUUCAACUUUGUACUAAGACCACGACACUUAUUUUGGAACGGAGGUAGUAUAUAAUUUUCUAGGAAGUAUACAAACAUGAAAAUUAAAUCAACCCAGUACAGUAGUACAUCGUGAGGAAAGGUGCACCUUUCAACUAAUUCUUUUCUGCAUUGUUUUAGAUAAGAUGAUCCAUGUUUGUUGUGAUCAUACUCUUGACCUGUGGUGUCAAUUACUUGGUUAACUUGCAAUCUUACAGCAUCUCUUGAAUGAAUCUGCACUUCUAAAUAGGCAUAAUUUGCAUAUACCUAUACCAUUCACAGAAUGAGUAUGCUAUAGUUCUCAUAAGUAAAGUUGACAGUCAGGUACUUUCAAUGCUACUCUUACCAGCCAAGGUAUAUUUGGCAUUUGAUUAAUAUGAUCAACUGAUUAUGUUGCUCCUCAGGUUUUUCUCUUGCAUAAGCAAGAAACCAGUAGAAAGUUCCUUCCUGGUAGUGAACUAUGAAGAAUCUUAAGCUAGUGUUUAAGCAGAGUGGCAAAUUUGAUCCAUAUGACCUAUGACAAUGGUGUGCCGAACAUUUACUACAGACGGUGUCCUUCAAAAGACAAAUUUUCUCACAACAUCCCUCAGAUUUUAACUACCCUCCUUUCUGGUCCCUUGGCGAAGUAUAAUUUUUCCUUCUUAUGUAGUAUAUUAUGUUGUAUUGUAUCAUGGAAUAAGAAUAUGGUGUUUUCCACUACCAGGACAAGGAACUAACUAGGACAAAGAACCAGUAGCCUGCACGUAAAGGACCCAAUGAAGGUGAUUUUCGAGAUGCUCUCACUCAAUAAUGUUCGCAGCUUCACGUUGUCUGAGAGUGAACAUGUUUGGAGCAGAUCCUUAAUAGAGGCAUGUCGUCUUUAUUUUGGAUGGAUACUACCACGAAAUAUCAUCAAUAGAAUGGUUUUAGACUCUCCACCACAUGCAUAUAUUCUAAAUGCAUACGUGAAGCAAUCUCCUGCUUAGAUCCACGAGACCAAAAUCUCGACUCUCAAGAAUGAACUUUUGGUGUGAUCAGAAAAAUCUUUAGUGGUUCAUGGACAACAGGGAAAACCCAGAAGUUGAAGGAUUUCUGCUAGUUUUGCUUACUAGUAUGGUUCUUGCUGUUUGAUAAAUACUGCAUACUCAUCAGCUUAUAUAGCAAAUUUCUUUGCGACCAAA